Molecule: long non-coding RNA, 1576 nt
Filed under: Panax ginseng (ginseng)
Lineage: Eukaryota; Viridiplantae; Streptophyta; Magnoliopsida; Apiales; Araliaceae
Description: long non-coding RNA (PGIN_LNC018401)
Source: RNAcentral
UCUCUCAGUCACAUCUCAUUCUCCUCCCUCUUGACUCCCUCAAACCCUAGAAAUAGUGGCGGUGUAUUGAUGGCGGCAGCGGCGAGAUAGUGGUGGCCUCUUCUUUAACUUCUCCUCCAUUAUUGCCCAAGUGAGGGUUUUAAUUUCCUAUUUUCUUCAUCUACGUUCUCUUUCCUAGGGUUAUUCUCUCUCUUCAAACAGUUGACGAUAGUGCAGGAGGUUGUUAAUAAUGGCGAGUCGCAGAACAGAAAUUCCAAGGUGGUGACAUUCUCGGCGUUGAAGCCUUAACUGUUUGUUGAGGAUCCGAAAGCAAUAACCUCAGCAGCGGCGAUAUAGUGGUGGCUUUUUCUGAGGAAUACCCUCGUUUUCUGCCCAAUUUCUCGAAUUGUGAUAUCUUAAUGAGGAAAUAGAUUUGCAUAGCUGACCAUGAAGCAUAGGGCCUUCUCUGGAGUGAAUUUAGCUUUGAUUACAACCAUUUUAGGCUGCAAAUAGGUAGAUCCUUACUAGUUGGUAGUAUUAUACAUUGGCGAAGCUUGAUUAUUAAUUGACUAAUUGUUAUUCUGAAGGUUCUGUUUUACUUUGUUGCUUACAUUGAGAAAGAUGGUUAUUCAUUUCAUUGUUCUUUUAUCUUUCUGGUGCACGACAUAUAUGCCUAGCGCAGUGCACAGUCAUUUAACUUUGAAAUUGGUUUAUUUGAUUCUACUAUGAUAUACUCUCGUUUUGUUAGAAACUCUUUUAUGCCUCACUAUAACAGUACUCUGAUAAAGGGACUAACGCAUUAGAUGUACUCUCACCACUCUAACGGGGAAAUGUGCACUUUAAUUAGUUUAUUGUACCUUUUGCUGUAACAAUUUUGUGAAUAGUUCAUAGUUUUAUUGCUUUUCUAUUGUGAUGUUGGCUUUAGCAGGUGCCGCAAUAGUGCAGGUGCUUAUUAUCCCCUCUUUGUUUCUGUCUUCUAGUUUUGUGGGUGAAUGCUUAGAGUCUAUAGAUGUUAACAUCAUAUUUUACAUGUGAAGUGGUGUGGUACCUAGUGUAACCAGCAAAAUUUAUUUCUUUUGAUUUGUUGCGUAUCUCUCUCUUGUGAUGAAGAUUAACUUAUAUUUCCUCUAUCUAACAAAAUUAGGUGAGUUGGAUCACAACUGCAAUAGAUAUGCAAUGAAGGAUGUUGACUGAUUGAAAUGCUCAUCUAUUUCCAUCAACUUUUGUUGAAUGGCUUCAAUCUUGGACGCAUCUUCAUCCACUUUUGGUACACCCUUAAACUAAAUACUGUUGCAAACUUUGCCAUCUGAAUUCUUGAGGUUCAGAUCAAGGUUGUUUACCAGUAAAGUUUCAAUUUGUUACUGUUUCUAUAUCGCUAAUAGUAACUUAAGGCUUCUAUUACCUUCUAAUUGAAAAGAUUCCAGCUUUAUUUGUUCUAAUUGUGUGAAUGCGCAGAUCUGCCUUUGCGUACAACAUGUUGCUGUGUUUGACUUUUUUUAAAUGUAGAUCCUUGUCUGGAUCAAGAAAGUUGUUUACGGGUUAACACCACUAUUAGCAACUUGCCUUGUCAUUAACAAUAUUCAACCUGCUCUCUCUG